Topomyia yanbarensis is the source of this 567-nucleotide long non-coding RNA. RefSeq lists it as uncharacterized. The record is from RefSeq and is a predicted model, not a curated record. Lineage: Eukaryota; Metazoa; Arthropoda; Insecta; Diptera; Culicidae. The transcript has 4 exons.
CACAAAUGCCAUGGAAGCUAGAGCACUCUUGUAAUAAUUGUACACUUUUAGCACUUCGAUCAGUGCUAAAAGUGUACAAUUAUUACCAAUAUCAGUGGAAGAAUCGUGAAUAUCGGCCUAAUAUUCACCGAAAAUCGAGGACAUAAACAGUGGUGGUAUUUUGCUACCAGGAUGCAAUCUUUCUGUGAAAGAUUGACCUGCAGUAACCACAAAAUCUUCCCGGGAUCAACCAUGAAGCCAUCUUGACCUGCAAGAUGCACUACAGAUAAAUAUGGCCAAUUUCAUCAAGUGGGCCAUCCCCUCAUCGCAUCUCUACCGUCGGCGCUCAGAUAAAGGGCAAAACUAUUAAUCCCUUCAUCGUCCCCCGGAUCGUCCUUAUGAUGACAUCGGACCAACCAGUAAGCAAACGGAUCACAGGACCAGAUAUGUCGACCCCAGAGAAAAAAGUCGGAAGUAUUCGUAACCUCUAGGCUCAGCCGACAUCCGAUCCUGUCCUUCAAUUCUUCCGGUCUGGCCUGAUCAGCCAUCAAAGCACCUGCAAAUGAUUGAAAUAAACUUUUUAAACUA